AUCUACAAUGGGUUUGCUGUGCCAACGGACUAAGUGCGGAAUUGAAGGUAAGAACUUAUUUUCUGCCAAAAUAAAUUCCGUCCACAUGCAGUCAAUGUUAACCGAGCUUGAAACCUUUCGAUUUACCCUACUAUAGCCAAACGAGACCGUAACCAAGAGGUUGCACAUCCAACAAAAAUCGCAAUUUAAAUUUUCUUCCGACGAGGAUUCAUCUACUUCACUUGUGAAAGAAUCUAUCUUUGUGGUGGCAUAGGGAUUGACAAAAUGACGGAGAAAGGAAAAGAAGUUGUGGAAGUAUUAGAUGAUGAAGUUUUAAUAGAAUCCAAUAAUGACAACAAUACAAACAAUAUCGUCACAUUGAAAGAUGAUAUCCUAGGAGGAGAUGGCAUGAUUGUGUUUAAAGUUGGUAUGAAGUUCAAAGAUGAGAAAGAGUUGUUUAAGUUUUAUAAGAGGUAUGCGUAUGACGUAAGUUUUUCGGUUAGGAGGAGAAAUUCUAGAAAGGGAGAAGAUGGAGUAGUGAAUUAUAUUACGUUGACAUGUUACUGUGAGGGCCAGAGAAGCAGUAAUGUAGGCGCUUCUUUGAAACCACAUCCAAUAAUUCGGACAGGUUACAAAGCAAGACUUACUACUUUUUCAGAUAUUCAUGGAAUAUGGAAAAUUUGCACAAUUGAUCUCGAACACAAUCAUAAAACUAGUCCUUCAAAAUUCAAAUUGUAUCGCUGCAAUUGAGUGCAAAUGUCAAACGCAAGCUCAAAGUGAAUGAUAUAGCUGGAAUACCUUUGCACAAGAGUUACAACUUGAAGCGAGUGGGUAUGAGAACAUGACUUGCGUGGAAAAUGAUUGUCGAAAUUGUGUUGGAUGAGUGAGGCAAUUGAGACUCAGUGAAGGAGAUGUCGCGGCAAUACAAUCCUACUUUUCACAAAUGCAAGCACAGUGCUCAGAUUUUUACUUCUGUAUGGAUUUAGAUGAAGAGUCACAGCUUAGGAAUCUCUUCUAGGCAGAUAAGAGGUGUAGGCAAGCGUAUAAGGAGUUUGGGGAUGUAGUGACGUUUGAUACCACUUAUCUCGCAAAUAAAUACGACAUGCCUUUUGUCCCUUUGUUGGAGUAAAUCAUCAUGGACAAUCAACACUCCUUGGUUGUGAUUUGCUGACAAAUGAAGAUACAUAUACAUUUGUUUGGCUAUUCAGGAUAUGGAUGCAGUUUAUGCAUGGUCAAGCACCAAAUGGAAUUAUUAUCGAUCAAGACAUGGCCAUGCAAAAUACAAUUGAGAUAGUCUUUCCAAACACGAGGCAUAUAUGGUGUUUGUGGCAUAUAUUGAAGAAGUUGCCGGAGAAGUUUGGGUACCACGUUCAGAGAGGGUCCAAUUUUUCAUCUAUACACGACUUAGUGUAUGAUACACAGGUCGUUGAAGAAUUCGAAGAAGGUUGGAAAAGUUAUGCUUAAUACAUGUGACUGACAUGAUAUGAUUAGUUGUCGGGGUUGUUUGAGAAAAGGGGUCGUUGGGUGACAUGUUAUUUGAAAACAACUUUUUGGGUGUGGAUGUCAACAAUUUAGCGCAGUGAGAGUAUAAAUGCGUUCUUCGAUGGGUAUAUACAUUCUAAGACAUCGUUGAAACAAUUUAUCAUACAAUACGAACGAGCAUUACUAAAUAAAGUUGAGAAGGAAUUCCAAGCAGAUUUCAAGUCUUACUUACGGAUGGUAACCUGUGCAACAAAAUAUGAAAUGGAAAAGCAAUUAUAGGCUGUUUAUACCAUUUCAAAAUUUUGGGAAUUUCAAGAUAAGAUAACCGGAAAGGUCUACUACUAUGUGAUAUCUGCAAGUGAUAUAUAUUCGGAGAAGUUGUAUGAGGUUGAGGAUGAUGUCAUUUACAAAGAAUAUAUUAGAACGAAAAAGUUUUCAGUCACAUUUCGGGUAGAGGAUUGCGAUGUUAUUUGCAGUUGCCACUUAUUUGAGUUUCUUGGAAUUUUGUGUAGACAUGCCAUAUCAGUGUUGAUGCGUAAUGACGUCACAUCACUAUCAGAGAGGUACAUAUUGAGGAUAAUGGAGACGAGAUGUUUGUAGAACCCACACGAGGGUUGCUGUGAAUUACGACGGUCUGGUUAGCACUCCUAGCCAGUUGAGGUAUGAUAGAAUGUGUGAAAUGUUUGCUACGUUGGCAGACAUUGCUGUUGAUGACGAAGAUCGAGCUCAUGCGCUAAUAGAUUGGAUUCGAUUGCAAUCCAAAUACUUCAUGAUGUCUAUGAAGACGAGUUGGGGAAGUAAUAGCAUUUCGCAACCUAGUUUGCAUUUAGGUUCGCAGUCUAGAGCAUCAAAUGACAUUAGCAACGGUAUGAUAUAAGAUCCUAAAUGUUCAAAAAGAAAGGGCGCACCAAAGAAACUUUGUCAUAAAAGCUCAUUGGAGUCGAUCUCGAAAAAAUAAAGGCAGCAUCAACUUCCAACAAAGGACAGAGAUCGAGAGAGGCGAAAAGUAAUCUUUGACUCGUCACACCUAUUGCUCAGUCCUCUCUACAAGCACAAUAUUCGAUGCUGACACUAUUCUCAAAUUCACAACUCAUAUUUGCCGACGAGGAAAGUCACGCACUAACACAACAAUUGCUAUCUGCAAAUUUUAUUCCUGCAUCAACAUCGAAUGUUUUGUUCAAAUAUCCCGGCGAGUAUACGAUUUCAAAUGUGUAUUUAGCAUGUUCCCAAAUGUGAAUUUAUCAUAUGUUAGAUAAUACAAUGCCAUACUACUGUCCCGAUUUGUCGUACAAUUUUGGAACACAAUUGGGAAUGAGACCGUUCGCAAUGGAUGUUUUCCCUCUUCGAUUUCAUGGUCUAACAUAACAGAUUGGAUGUCCAGUGCCGCCCAUACCAAUCCGCAUGCUGUUGUUGCGGAAGGUCCUUCUAGUCUUGUUCAGAAUCUGAGUUCAGGAAUGGCUCAACAAGAUCCUACAAGUGAUAUUGCAAUGACCUGUCAAGAUGCUGGUUCAUCAAGGGGACUAUUAUUUAAUUCCUAUAAUGAAACUCAAUAGGCAUGUUAUGAUUUUAUUUUAUUUUUUAUUUUAUAUAUUUUUUUUCAAAAUCUGGUGUCAAGGAAUGGUCUUUUCUUUUGGUUUUUGAACUUUUGGGAUAAACAUUGGAAGAAUUGAGAAUCAAUUGUUGUUUAGACAGUGUACUUGUGUAGUUCUGCCUUUCUUUUAUCUAGGAUUUUUCUUGUAUUUCUCCACUUUGCUUUGAUAUUGUUUGCUGAGUGUUCACUUAUCAGAAAGUAGAUA
Long non-coding RNA from Olea europaea var. sylvestris, 3257 nucleotides. RefSeq lists it as uncharacterized. The transcript is spliced from 6 exons. Lineage: Eukaryota; Viridiplantae; Streptophyta; Magnoliopsida; Lamiales; Oleaceae. The record is from RefSeq and is a predicted model, not a curated record.